CAACUCAAAUUCAACUCAACUCAAACUUUAUUCAUAAAGCAUUUUCAACACCACGACUAGAACCAAAGUGCUGUACAGAGAAAGAUGAG
This is a long non-coding RNA of Sinocyclocheilus grahami, 89 nucleotides long. RefSeq lists it as uncharacterized. The record is from RefSeq and is a predicted model, not a curated record. Lineage: Eukaryota; Metazoa; Chordata; Actinopteri; Cypriniformes; Cyprinidae. The transcript is spliced from 3 exons.